This 75-nucleotide transfer RNA is filed under the name Rikenellaceae bacterium. RNAcentral describes it as "tRNA-Arg". It matches the Rfam family "tRNA". From Rfam's summary of the family: Transfer RNA (tRNA) molecules are approximately 80 nucleotides in length. Lineage: Bacteria; Pseudomonadati; Bacteroidota; Bacteroidia; Bacteroidales; Rikenellaceae. The record is from RNAcentral.
GGCCUUAUAGUUCAAGGGAUAGAACGAGGGUUUCCUAAACCCUAAAUCCGCGUUCGAGUCGCGGUGGGGCUACCA